AUACUUACCUGGCGGGGGAGAUACCUUGAUCACAAAGGUGCUUUUUCCAGGGCGAGGCUUAUCCAUUGCACUCCUGAUGUGUUGACCCCUGGAUUUCCCUAAAUGUGGGAAACUCAACCAUGUACUUUGUGGUAGUGGGGGACUGCGUUUGCACUUUCCCCUA
Aotus nancymaae (Ma's night monkey) is the source of this 163-nucleotide small nuclear RNA. Its record names the gene U1. It matches the Rfam family "U1 spliceosomal RNA". From Rfam's summary of the family: U1 is a small nuclear RNA (snRNA) component of the spliceosome (involved in pre-mRNA splicing). Its 5' end forms complementary base pairs with the 5' splice junction, thus defining the 5' donor site of an intron. The record is from Ensembl. NCBI's taxonomy places the organism in Eukaryota, Metazoa, Chordata, Mammalia, Primates, Aotidae.